Molecule: long non-coding RNA, 207 nt
Filed under: Zostera marina
Lineage: Eukaryota; Viridiplantae; Streptophyta; Magnoliopsida; Alismatales; Zosteraceae
Description: long non-coding RNA (ZMAR_LNC003904)
Source: RNAcentral
GACGGACAGAAAAAACAUAGUGUGCCGACAACGAAGUCUCGAUGAACCUACUCUAAAAGACAUCGUAAAAAACCAGAAGAAACCAAGUCGGAAGAAUAAAUAGACGAUGAACCAAAUCGAAAUCAGAUAGAAGACGAACAAAAAAUUCCAAUCGGAAGAAGGAAAAAAUCGCCGACCUAGACUUGUACCCAUAUAAUCGGAAGGAAA